AAAGGGGGAGAAAUAGGGUUUAUGAGUCUUGAUAGCAGAGUCUUGAGUCUUGAGUCUUAGGUCUAGAGUGUCCAGGGAGUAGUAGGGAUUUGAUUCUGAUCAUUUAUAUCCAAUGAUCAAUCUCGAACAUCCAUAAAUAUGGACGGAAUUUCUUUGUAAUUUCGAUGUUACAUCAAAUGAAUGAAAUUCCCCUCUGUUUUAUUUGUGUUUUUG
Molecule: long non-coding RNA, 213 nt
Filed under: Lathyrus oleraceus (garden pea)
Lineage: Eukaryota; Viridiplantae; Streptophyta; Magnoliopsida; Fabales; Fabaceae
Description: Pisum sativum (pea) long non-coding RNA (PSAT_LNC013128)
Source: RNAcentral